UGGAAACAUGUAAGACACCGGCCCUCGAGGCCUGACUCUGGACACCCCAGACUUAAGUCAUUGCCUGACUGGUGCAUUUUUGCCUUUUUCGUUUGUUUAGCAGAUGAACCGCUUUCCUGUGCUGGUUCGUCCUCAUAAAUCAGUGACUGUGGCAUAAGCGGUCAAAUGCUCUUCUGAAGGGACUUUGCAGAAGCAAACGCUCGACUCAAAGUAGAGUCACGCCAUUUAGAACAUGCCAGAGCAGCUUUAUGUUCUAAAAGCUUCGAACUCCAGCCUGCGGCGCUCACCUGUGUCCAUAUGGAGUGGUGGCUCAGGAAGCAGCCGAUCUCCCCCCGAGUUAGGACUCGCCCCGAGUACGGGUCCUUAUAGCCCGGCAGCAU
Oryzias melastigma (Indian medaka) is the source of this 380-nucleotide long non-coding RNA. RefSeq lists it as uncharacterized. The record is from RefSeq and is a predicted model, not a curated record. Lineage: Eukaryota; Metazoa; Chordata; Actinopteri; Beloniformes; Adrianichthyidae. The transcript is spliced from 3 exons.